AGAGUCAAGGGCGACCCAUAUCCUAUAGAAGUUCCUGCAGCAAUCAUUACAGCCUCUGCUGCUAACUCAAGAAUAUGAGCCAGUGGCAGGUAUGCCAAAUACACAUCUUUACUGCCGAGAGCAGGGACAAUCGUCAUCACUGCAGAGACUGUUGCUAGGAUAUUACCAUGUGUCAUCAUAACACCCUUAGGCAAACCAGUACUUCCGCUUGUAUACAUUAUCACCGCAACAUCAGCUGCAACGGGUAAAUCUGCAUCAACAGGACUUUCCCGGCCAAGUUUCUCUACUUCAUCAAAUGAGGUGAUGGUCCAGCUAGUGUUCUUCUCAACUA
Molecule: unclassified non-coding RNA, 331 nt
Filed under: Hevea brasiliensis (rubber tree)
Lineage: Eukaryota; Viridiplantae; Streptophyta; Magnoliopsida; Malpighiales; Euphorbiaceae
Source: RNAcentral